This is a long non-coding RNA of Gasterosteus aculeatus aculeatus (three-spined stickleback), 11757 nucleotides long. The record is from Ensembl. Lineage: Eukaryota; Metazoa; Chordata; Actinopteri; Perciformes; Gasterosteidae.
CUUUUCAGGAAAAAAGUAGUGCAGGAGAGAAACUUUUAAAAUAACACUUUGACUUUUAUAUCAGCUGAUCUGGACAGUCCAUAUCUGCAGGCCCAUGACCUCAGCCGCGGGUUCAGUGCUGUAACGCGUUGCUUUAUCCAUCAUUCUCUGGCUGAUCGUUGGUGCUAGUGGCAUCCUUUCCACACAACUGGUAGGUGAGAUGAGGAGCGGAAAGGGUCAUUCCCUUCAAACAUUAGACUUAACUUGUGAAUGAAAGACAGCUUCCUCUUUGUCAUUACAGUAAGUCAUUACUUCAGUGCUCACACGCCAGCCAUUUGAUUUUCCACAAACAUGUACAGCACAGAUAGAACAUAAUGUAUUCCAUCUAUGUACCAUUCAAUGACAACCAUUAUUGUGUCCCAUUUUUUUUAUUUAUGUCAUUUAGUUAUUUUUUUCACUGCAUUGUAAGGAUUUUCAUGCAUGUAGCCUAUUUUGCUGUAAGUCAACCAUUCACUCAGGUCAUUUGGGUGCCUGAAGUUAAUGUAUGGAUUUCCCUGGGGUGAAAUCACAGCUAAACACAUGGCCAUGACGGAUAGGAAUAUAGAGAUGUUCCAUCUUCUCUGGAGAAAUAAAUGACCUCCAACUGGGGUCAAAGACAAGACCUCAGUUUACAGAAAACCUUUAUUUCUUCAUCCAGCAUGCAGUGUGUGUUCAUACCAUAUUUAACCAGUGCAUAUUGGAAUCCUAUUUUUCCCUUUAUUAAAAAACGGGUACGGUUGCAAGGAAUGCUUCUAGUAUAGUUAAUUUCAAGGAAAAUGUCUGAACCUUAAAAUGUUGCCCAGCAAAUUUUGAAACUGAAAAGAGUUUUAUUGCUUUAUCUGGUUGCAGAUGAGUGUGAAAUUACUUUAUACCGCAGGAAUGCAUUCAAAAGACUUAUUUGACAACACCACUCUUGAGGGCAGAGCUUAACAGAAAUAAAAAAAAAGAAAUACAAUAGAGCAUAAAAAAAGAUAAUAUUUAAAAAUGACCAUUUAAGGCUAAUGAGUUCUCUGCCUCAAAUCCAAUGGAGAAAAUAAAAUGCAUUUUUUAUAGUUAUCAGCAGUUAUGUAAAAACAACAACUGUAAAUAAAGUGUUUACCUAAUAUGUUACUUUACUUUUUUCUAUUAAUGUUAAAGGACAUAAGAAAACGAUAACCAAUGCUCAUGUAUGGAACUGGUCGACCUCCAGCCUCAUUUCGCCAAUACCAAACAAAAAGUGCUUUUAAAAGCCACAACAAGAUCAGGACGACAUAAAUGAAUGCAUAUCACAUCUGUGUUGCUUACCUGUUUUUAAAUGACAAUGUACAACAAACAAAAAACAUUUGGUUCUCAAAGCUCUUAGUGAUUGUAAUGAUUGUCCAAGUUGCACUUCAAGUGCUAACUUCUGUCUAAAGUUUCCUCAAAGAAUCAGCAUUGGCCCUGACAGCAUGUAACAGUCUGACCUGCUGUACUUUCCAAAUAUCAAAAGACUCAUUUCAACACCAAUUCAUUCGCUUUCACACAUUAAUAUAACACAUUCCCUGGUACAAUAGGCCAACAUACAAACACACGCAGAUGGCAGGCGCUGGGACCAAUCCAAUGUCUGUGUGCGUAUUUGUAUAUGUGUGCGCGUGUGUGUGUUUGUGUGACUCUGGCUGUAGGAGGUUGACAGGCAGUGUGUCUGUGAUUGUAUGUCCAUUCCAAUUCUGCUCGCCCUGGUAGGAGGCUUUACAUGCACGGGACUGCAAACGAAAAUAUAUAUAUUGCAGUGUGGGACAUAACGAGUCCAUUUAUUGUGCUUGUUUGAACUUGGCAACACAUGCAAACAUGUGUAUUUAUGUGUUUGAGUGUAAGAACGUCAGUGUGCAGAGACCGACACAGAAACAGGCUUUACUCAGUUACUCGGCACUCCUGGCAUGCCAAUAAAGCUCUUGAAACGAUCCGAGUGAAUAAUAUCCAGCAUACUGGGGAGGCCUGCUCCGAUUCUCCAGCCAGCCCUCUCUGGUUUGAUAAGAUUGUGUUAGCCACCACCUCGCGCCGCCUCACACUUCAAACAGUUACAUAUUGCUCUGGAAAUUGUCGCGGGGAGCGCGUCGGCCAGAUAAAUUCAGUUCUGAUCUUACAUUUAGCUCAAUAUAUUUAUAGUACCGCCAGGAAGGGAGUGGGGAUGAAGGAGGGGAGGGGAUGAAAUAAGAGAGAUGGUGAGUGAGAUGUAUGAAGGAAAGUGGGGAGUAGGGUUUUCUCAUGAAAGCUCUCCACUCCUCCUGGUCACUGCAUCGAGUCAUAGCUGAGCAGGCGCUCACACAGAGUAAGAACACAGCAACAUGCAAAAAAAUAGAAUAAUGAAUUAAGAUCGCAUCUGAAGUAUUUAAACCUCAUGUGUUGUUUCCUCAGAUACAAAGCAUUUCUUUCUGCUCUCUCUGUCAUUUUGCAGAUUGAUGAAUGGCGAAUUGACUUGACUCGUAUAGCGCCUUUAGUCUUCCCACCACUCAGAGCUACACGACACUUCAUGUCAUCCACCUAUUCGCGCCGCUUACCUACCAACGUGUCGCCUGCUCAUCAGGACUAACUACUCCCACCCAGUCACACAGCGGCGGUACAGCAGCAGUGGAUCAAACCAGAGAAACGAGGGACAACCUGCUCUCUCUAAUGUCUGUCAAUGACGCUGCUCAACACGUCCCCCAACAGAGGGCCCUUUGCAUAGGAGAAGGUAAUGUUUCUCUUUUUAUUACCAGACUGCUCGCUUUGGUUGGUGGGACAAAAAGACCCAGAGGGGGAACCGAUGGACAUAUGUUCGUCUUGUUGAACCCAAGGGAAAAUCAAAUGUACUAUUGUGCAAAACAGUGUAUAAAUGCCUCUUAUUUUUUUAUAGAAGUUGGCUUUUUUUCAGUGCAAUAAUACAGCCUUAAACAAGUAUUUGUAAUACUUGCCUGCAUGCAUAGUGGAGUCCCUGAGAAUGAAGGCAAGUUGAGAGUCGGGAGGCAAUACAAUAUGCCCUGAUUUUGGAAGAAUAUACGCUCAUCUACAAUGGUUGUAAAUGAUGUUGUUAUGAAUGGAAUGUGGACGCCAGUGACGGCCCUGCAUAAACUCUAAUGCACAUUUAAGUAACACCAGGCGACAGCUUAGAGAGUCUGCUUCACAAGAAGGCUGUCGUUCUACUUAGCAGAGGAAUAUUGACUGAACAAUUGAACCCUCCAACAAUCAAUACGUUUCACUAGUAUACUAAAUAUAUUUUUUGAAAUGUAAGGUAGAUAACUGCAGAAUUAUAGUAUAUCUACAGAAAAAACCCCACAGUUUAGUUUCUUUAAGCUUGUAUCACUAUACAGUCCUAUUUUCAAAGGGCAGAGAUCCAUUCGAUCUGGUCUUUGAACAGCUGAAGGAAAACUAUCUCCAGCUUAACAAGGUCACAGUAUGAGCAAGAGAGGAAACCGGUUUCCAUUAUGAUAAAAAAAAGUCAUUGACAGCAUGUCACACAGCUGUGUGUGUAGGAGUUAGACACCUCAUCAGGUGGUUGUGGUGUUCUCACAGCCCGCCGCAUUGACAGCCCUGCUAACUUCCUGCCCCUGAGUAUUUUUAGUUUCUUCAUGUCAACUCCGCCACCCUGACGUUAUGCACACACAUCACAAUCUCUUCUGUUUAGACAAAACGUAAUUUCUAUCUGUCCAGGCCUCUCGUGCCCUAUUGUUUCUUUCUUUCGCAUUAUUUGCAUGACCCUUGAAAGCCCUAAACUCUUUCCUUCCUCCUCUUUCCCAGUAGAAGAUGCUGAUGACAUUUUUAUGAUCAUUAUUCUUCCACCUGCUGGCUGACUUCAGAGUAAUCAGCAAGGGGACGGUAGUUGCGUGUGAGUAUGUGCUGUAAGCGAGAAGUGAGCUAUGAUGUAGCUUUCCCCUUAUUCCGAGUUCAAAUCUAGCUUGUUGAGUUGCGUGUUGCUUUUAACUUUACUGUCGUCAUCUAUAUGUAGAGAAAGGCAUAUUAAACUGGGACUGUGGGACCGGGUAUGUGAAAUGCAGAUGCUGUCCUGGAUUUGUGAAUGGCAAACACGUCUUCAAGAUGUGCAGCUUUUUGACGGUGUUAUUGUAGUGCAUUUGCACUGGGAUCAAGAUUAGACAAUGUGUUCCACAGUGAAACACUUUCAUAAAAAAGUCAGAGGUCAGCAUCAGCCACAGAAAAACAUCCCUGAAAAAAACAACCUGUGUAUUUCUUUAAGUGUCCCCUAAUUUGGAGGAGUAACACAGCAGCUUGAAGAGCGUUGUUAUAAUGAGCCAAUUAUAACUGUUUUUAACUAAACCGAUGACGAACAAAAUGUGCAGGAACAACACUCACUUUACUCACAACAAAUGCUUUUGAAAAGCACUCAAGUUGAUAUUGUAACCUAAAUAUCUUUUGUCAAAGAGAAGACGCAACCAUUUAUAUUGACCCCAAAAAUAACGGCAGUGGCGUUAAAAAGCCGCUGAUGUGCCAUCAGUUGGAGCAUAAAGCAGAUACCGAUUCAUAUUAUGAUUAUACUUAGGUGAUAACUGAUGUCAUGAGCCACACCUGCUGAAAAGAAAGUGCUUGCAGACAGGGUCACAGAGAGAGAGGAAAGUAGACAGAUUUGCGCACAGCCGGUGACAGUUACCUCUGUGCACUGAAGCUGCGAACUGCUGUGAUGGAAUCCUAAACCUCUUCAGCAUCGGAUGCUUCUCCAGCAGGUCAUGUGACAGAUCAGGUCCAGAGAGAAGCCCACAGUGUAUAGGUCUAAUUGUGGAAUUAAUGAAAAAAGACACAGUGUCAUCAUCGCGGUGAGCUCAGUAGCUUGGUAGCGAGCGCCGUGUGUUCAGUAUGUCAGUGAAUAUAUACUAAACAUAACUGUUUUUCUUUUUCUUUCAACCGGUCAACUGACAGCAUAAAUUGGUCCAAAUUUAUAUAAUCAGUCAAUGAUUGAUGAAACAGUUAUUACCUAAUUAUCUAAUUUAUUUCUAGCUUCUUUUAAAUUACAUUAUUGUUGAACUUGUGUACACUAGAAAAUGGGUAACUGCCGUUAGCCCACGCAGUCAUGAAAUUGGCCUUGUUAGUGUGUUAAGUAGAGAGAUGGAUUAAACAUCCAGCCCUUAGUGAGCUCAUACUGCAACUAACACUGCAUCAACGGCACAGAUACUUGUAGGGUUACACAACCGGUAAAGCAUCAUCUGCCAGAUCGACAGAAUUAAAAAAUGGUGCGAAAAGACUUCGAUUCAUUUCCUCACUUUUGAUUGAUAUCUCUGAUGUAGUCAUGAGAAAUCCUUCUGACAAACACAAGAGUGAUAACAUACCUUCCUUACAAAAUAAAGAACACAAUCAUGUGUACAUUUUUAGAGAGAUGGAAGAUAUUAGUGCUUUCUGGAGAUGGAAUUGUAAAUAUUAAAUCUGACAUGGGAACUAGUUCAGUAUUAACAGCAUAGUCAUAAUGACAAUCGAAGGAAGAGCGUUAUAACAAUGACUAACGACUAACUAAAUUUACUGAUAUCUUUCUGUUUUUUUUAAAUUGUACAUAAUUGGGCCCCCGCCUCCACUUAGUGAUUUUAUUUACCAAAGCAGUCAAAGCAGCAGACUCAAUAGAUCUGCUUCAAGAGGUGAUUGUGUCAUUUCACGUAGGUCAAGCUUGUCUAGCAAGGCUACAUUCUCUGGGAAGGCAGCUCUGCCACCACACAUACGCAGACAACACACGCACAAAACCUUCAAGUAAAACCCUAAAACCAGGUGUGCGAGCUUUGGUGUGAUGUCUGUUGUGCCUGCUUGUUUCCCUUAUGUAUACAUUUGUCUUGUUCAGUGCUAUUUUCUUUCUGUGUUAUGUCCUUCCGUGGUAUUCACAGUACAUGUGCUUGUGCUGUAGGUGGGUUUGCUCUGCCGGACGCUUGCUGCAGCCCGUUAUGUCGGCUCGAGUCUACCGUCUUACACUUUUCUUUUCUUUUGCUGGGUGUUGCUUUUGUCUAUACGUUGUUGUCAUUUCGGCGAUGAAUUUUAAUUACAUUUCCCUUUUGAGAUUUUAUUAUUUUCAGGCUGCCUUAAAAACAUCUGGCCGGGGACAACAGAUGGAAAUUAGUCUCUCUGGCUCACAGUACAACUGUUGAUUGGUGUGCAUUGUCCCUGCCAAAUAAAUACAUACUAUGAGUUUGUUUUCAUACCAUCGCACGUUUUCUCUUUGGUGUCGUUCCGGUCACCAUUCAGUACGUGCAGUCUGCUUGGGAGUGAUAUAUAUUCAUGGAUGAGCCACAUAAUUGAUGUGUAAAUAUUAAAAAGAGAUGGACAGCGUGCAGUAUGAAAGGAUUUGAGGGGUGGUUAGAGGGAUUGAGAAAGACUUGCAGAGGUUGUUAAUCAGUUAGUGUCAGUAGGAGAUAUGGGGGCUGGGAAACAGGUGAUGUGUGCAUGUCAGGGAUCGCGUUUUUGAAUGUCAAUGAGUUGGAAAAGCAGAUGGGGAUGUUUUCGGGCCUGACUGCAUUAUGAUGGUGUAGCCUUCAACAAGGCUGUUCUGACUUUCCCUGUUUGGACGCUGAGGGAAUGUAAAAACAGACCUUUUCUGACCGCAGAACACUUUAAUUGCCUCUUGCUGACAGAGAAUUAUGAGAUCAGCAGACACUAUCCCAUCAAUGCAUCCAUCCGCCCAUCCAUCCAAUCAGAUUGCAGUUUAAGACUUUGUCAUUGUCCUCAUCUUCUGUUUUUUUACUCAUUCUGCGUAACUUUGAAUGGCUCCGCGCCAGUUUGUGAAUUCACCAGCCGACACAAAAGGGCUGUCGAAGUCUGGCACUGUCUUCACUCAGCAGUUUUCUUCCUCCACUGCUGUGACACAUGAAAGGCACUAAACAAAAUCGCUGUCUUUCACAUAAUGCAGCCGUGGCAGAUUUUCAAAUCAGCCUGGUUUGAAUGGGAGGGUACGAUUUUGUGUUACAAGACGCCUCGUCUGGGACUGAAAAUCCUUGGGUUGGAAAGGGCAGUCAGCUAGACUAACCUCUGCUUUGAUCGCAGCAGAGGUCCAUUCUGCAGCUGCUGCCUGUGUGCUGCUGCCCGUGACACAUUCCUCUGCUGCUACCACGGCCGAUGGGCAUUCUUUGGCUGCUGUUGGAGAGUCAAGUGUUUUGAAAUGUUCCCUUUUGAAAAGAAAUUAAACUUUUGAUGGUGAACAGGAAUUAGCCCUGCUCAAUAUAUUUAUUUUAUUUACUUUCUAAUUCCUUCCUUCGUUCUCAGUCUACACCAUCAUUCUCCCCACCUACUUCUCAUCCUACACCCUUUUCAUUCAGGAGGGAUUUAAUAAAAUAGCUCCAGGAUCACAAAUUGUAUGGAUAUGAGAUGCCGCCUUUAAUCAUACUGAUGUAAAAGAGAGCGGUGUCUAUCUACCUCUGUGUUAUCUAACACUAACCCACUCAGCAUGCUGAUAGCGUGCAAAAGGAUUUGAUUAAUAUCAGAAAUGACUCCAAUACACUAAGAAACCUGAUGUUGGAUUAUUGUAUGUAUGCAAAUGUAUAUUUGCAUACAUACAAUAAUCGAAUGCAGUAUGUAUCAAAUUUAUAUUUGCAUACAUACUGCAGGUCAUUCUAGAGAAUCGGGAGAGAAAAAGAUUGACGAUAAAAGUUGGGAAUAUGCUAUUCACCAACCUUUCCUUUUACUUUUCGAAUUAAAUGUAUUUCAUUGUUUCGGGAAAAUGGACAUAUUGAGAGGCAUGGUGGAUGGUUUCAUACAGCUCUCUUACAAGUAAUGCAACUCCAUUUACUUUGGGAUUCUGACAUUUUUUGAAGUGCGUGAAUCAUUACAAAAGAUUUGAUACUUUUCCAUAAAAAAAUACAAAAUAAUCAGAUGGAUGAGAUUAAAGCACAUAAUGCAAAAAAGAAUAUGUAGCAACAAUGGCGAAGGGAUAUUUUGUUCAAUAGCAAACCUUACAUUAUUGAUAAGGCAUCAUUAUGGCAGCUUAACAAUGCAGUGUCCAUAAAUGGGCGUGAGUCAUUACUGUCUCAGUGCUGACUCUCAUGAAAAGGACAUAAUACAUUUAAUCACUCUACAGUGCAGCUUACACCAUCAUAUAAACACUCUCACAGCCUAAAGCAGCUUCUGUGUAACCCCCCUGUGAGAAAACAAAUUAUAAAUCUGAGCGUAUCUGCUGCUAACAUCUAUAGCUGAGAUGAGAUUCCGAUAUCCAGUAGCAGUGAAGAGUUUGGACAAAUAUUCUUGUUCAAUCCAAUGAGAAAGUGACAGAGGUGCAAUAUCUCAUUUAUAGAGGCUGUAAACUGGGAAUGUCAGUGAAAGACAAGCACUUGCCUUGUAUAAGGAAUAAGUAUAUGGUAUAAGUGAAGAGCAAAUACGAUGUGAAAAAGACAGAAAGCGAUGCCUGAAUCACUCAGUCAUUCUUCCCUGUGAUUUCCCCUCUCUCUUUCUCCCUCUGUAUGCCUUCGGAGACGCUUUAGUCACCAUAAUCCACUGAGCGUUGCUUUAAUCACAUCUUCGUAGGUCUCCACUUUUUAAUUAAGGCCCGUGUUUCAGCUCAUUUCACUGCGCAUAUUUAGCGACCCGGUGGGACGCCGAGGCAUUCAUCAGACAGACAGUCUGACAGAACAGCAUCGGGCCGCUCCUGUGCACGCAUUUUAAAGACACUGAUUGGGUUUCGAACCAAGGGCAGAUGAAGGCGCUCACAUAGGACUAUAGACACAAAAAGAUGUAUUGCAUGAAACUAAAAUGCAUAUUGUUUUCUCACUCACGUUGAUUGCGGGACCAAAGGGCUCCUAGCACUCUUUGCUCUUUUUAGUGAGAAAAUUAAACAGGCUUUUCAAAUAACAUUCUGGAGUUACUUUGUUCCUGAUUUUAAAUUGUUUAUUAAGUGUGUUCUAAAUAAAAUGUUAUUACUUGAAUUACCGCCUGCAUUUCUGUGUAGUUUGCAUAUUUCAAUUUAAAAUUUAAUGAGCCAAGACUCGUCAACCUGCACACAGAGCAGUGACAUUAGAUGGUGCAGAAGCAAAGGGCAGGUUAAUGCACAAACACGCGGACCUCUGCAAGCAUUUGCAUCAGCACAAACAAUCUCAGGACGAUUUAUUUUUCUUAACUUAUAUUCAGAAUUGCAUGCUGCUUUAUUGCUCACUCUUCCCGUGUUUGUCUCUUUAUCUCCCUUUGUGUCACUCUCUCUCUCUCGCACACGUGCACACACACACACGCGCGCACACACACACACACACACACACACACAUUGUGAUCAUCACACCGUCUUCCAUUAACUUCGCAGCAAGCGGUUUUCCAUCUCCCUCAGAUUGCUCUUGUUUGUCAUCCUAAGCUCUGCCUUCAAUCAUGUUUGCCCACGCCUUUACAGCACAUUGCCCGUUUAAUUGGAUUGAGAACCACGUUUUAAAUAUGUAAGAGAACGAGCUGCAUAGUAAUCAGAAAUAUUCAAAUGAAGGACAGUGCUGUUAAUUGACAUUUCUGGAUGCGUCGGAAAGGACGGAGAGUUGCUUUUGUAUGGAGGGUUAACGAUGUCUGUUACAGAGCAAAAUAAGUGUAACAAAAAUGUCCCCUUCAUUUUCGAUAUAAUCCACCGUUGAACUUGUGUAGUGAUAUGUCUGUACAGUGUAUCAUCAAAAUAAAAGCAUUUUCACAUUGCUAAAUUAAAAGCAUUGUAGCACUGAUUAAAAAGGACAUUUUGUGUGGGGCAACAAUUUGGACACAUUUUGAUGGAGCUUCCUGCUCAGAAACACAGCUUACACUGCGCACCACGUGUGCCCAUUAACACGUUGUUAACCCUUUAAAAUGCAACAUGAGAUGAGAUCAAACGUUAUUGAUUGUGCAAAAUCCGCUCAACGCUGCAAUAACUAAGAUCAAAGACAUGAGUACAGGGAACAGACAUCAUAACAAACCGGUUCGAAAAAUGAGAAGUAAAAUAUCCAUAAAAAUAUAUAUAAAAAACCCCAAAAAGGUCAAUAUGUUAUUCAGACUAGAAGGCUUAUAUUUUACAAUACAUAAUUGUUGCUAAUAAAGUGAUAAUGCUGACUGUAUAUAUGGCUGAAAAGAGGGAAAUGUUUAAGCAACUGAAAACUUUCACAAUUUUCUAAAAUGACCUCAUUCGUUACAAAAACCCUGUUGAUCAGGAUGUAACGAUACACCAGACCUUCUCACUUGGCCCUGUCAGUUCCUUUGAAGUGUCUGAACAUUAAUUAUGGACUGUCUUAAUGAAGGCUGAAUAUUGACGUCUCUACAUCAGUGAAAUGCAGGGGUUUAAGGUCACUGGAGUCAAAGUUCACGCCAUAGUGAGAUGAGACGGGCCUCUGCUGAAUAAUGAAAGAGAACUGUCGCUGAAUUCACUAGAGGUGAACUAAAUAGUUCCCACUAAAUGCCCAAAGGGAAAUGGUCUGUAGCGAGGAAAACAGUCCCAUUAUGUGCUGAGGAAGUAUGUCGAAUGGAUGGAUGGAUAUAUUUGUGCGUGAAAGUCAUUUCUUUUCCGUGUUUUGUUUUUAAUAAAAAAUAUGGAUGCAAUCUUGUUCCACAUUAUUUCAAUUUUGCAGUAAAUCGACUGACAGCUACGAAGGAAGUACAUUUGCCUCGAGCCUACACAGAGUCGGGAUCACAAGCAUCCUUCCCAUGUCUUUUGAUUAUGAGGUAAGAUAAUGUUGGUUAGGUCAAGUUGUAACCGGACAACAUGCGUAGACUUUGAGGGACAGGUGUAUGCUCCAAUUAUACAAUAUCAAGUGCGCCUUUUGGUGUACUGAUUUAUCCACCGAGAGGUCUUUGUGCAUAGGGAGGACCCUGGAAUUUAUUAAUAGAGAUGGGAGACAGUUGAGUAAGGAAACCAGAGACAGAGAUGGAUAAAGGGUAAACUGCUGUGAGGAGCAGAGAUGGGAAGGGCUCAAACAGAAAGAGAAUGCACUCACCAUAAAGCAGUGACUUAUAACAAAGUGACAGAGUUCAAAGCAAGGACAAGUCCUCUAGUCUCCUCACUGCUCGCACACACACACACACAAUGGCUGACAGAGGAAAGGGUGAUUCCAUUUCUCUGAGCUGACAUAAAGAUCAGUGUUCUGCAGUUCAGGGGACCCUACUGAGCACGCUCGCUGUCGGCUCCGACACUUCCCAGCAUCUCUGCCUCAGGGACUAGAAGGCCAUGGAAAUGACAUAGGCCAAAAAAAUGGUAUGGAUGUGUGCUGCAACUUCCCCUUGUGUGGGUACCUGUGUGCAUGGGCGUGCACACUUUCAAACUCAAGCCUCUGCACGGCGUGCGCGGGUGCAUGUGUGUGUACGACACGGCCCGUGUGCCUCGUUGGCAAAUGCCAGCAAGGACCGAUGUGUCAGUGUAAUGUGCAAAUGCCAGUCAUGAUACGGGAGAAGGGCAAUUGCCACUACAGGGAUAUGGAGUUAGACAGCUUGUUAGACGUUUAGGGUUUCAUUAAUCCCAGAUCCUCGUCAGUUUGGAAAAACAGACUGGAAAAACAAAAAAAGGAAAUCAACCCGAAUGUGACUGUUGACUCUGAGUGGAACAGACCUGUUAGUUAAGCAGCAAGCACACUUAAUUGCGACGUUGUCCUUUCCGAGUGCCUUUGAACAGAACUCUCCUGUAGAUGAAAAAGCUAAAAAAAAAAAAAAAAGUAAAAAGUGUUUUUUAUUUAGAUCAAGCCAAGAGAUUUUCUUUUAUUUGCAGAUCAAAUUUCCACAGUUGGAAUUGUGACUCAACCUUUGAUUUUAUCUCACCGCCUGGAUAUGCAAAGCAAAGCUAUUUCCAAUGGGAGUUUUUCCUUAAGCUUGAUCUAAAAAGAGCAAACAUCUCCAGUCACUGCUUUA